GCUUUUAUUCUUUAGCCGGAUGAUAGGGGGUGAUGAAGUAUAUGGGGAUCUUCGUGUGGUGAAUAUUCAUAGUGGGUUGUGAAAAAGAAGGGAUGAUAUUGAGCUACUAUUUACUCUUAUAAGCUCUAGAAAGUUGUGAAAAGAAAAGAAAAAAAAAAUUGUUCAAGAAAAAGAAAAAGAAAAGAAAAAAAAAAAGAGAAAAAGAAAAGAAAAGUGUGAAGUCGAGUGUAUAUUGAGAGUGUUGUUAGAUAAUCGACUUCGUGUGUUGGAAAUAAAUGGAGAGCAUAAAAGAGUGGUUAGUU
Molecule: long non-coding RNA, 302 nt
Filed under: Salvia miltiorrhiza (redroot sage)
Lineage: Eukaryota; Viridiplantae; Streptophyta; Magnoliopsida; Lamiales; Lamiaceae
Description: long non-coding RNA (SMIL_LNC011872)
Source: RNAcentral